GACGAACGCUGGCGGCGUGCCUAACACAUGCAAGUCGAACGAGAAUCUACUGAAAGAGUUUUCGGACAAUGGAAGUAGAGGAAAGUGGCGGACGGGUGAGUAACGCGUGAGGAACCUGCCUUGAAGAGGGGGACAACAGUUGGAAACGACUGCUAAUACCGCAUGACGCAUAGAGGUCGCAUGAUCUUUAUGCCAAAGAUUUAUCGCUUCAAGAUGGCCUCGCGUCUGAUUAGCUAGUUGGCGGGGUAACGGCCCACCAAGGCGACGAUCAGUAGCCGGACUGAGAGGUUGAACGGCCACAUUGGGACUGAGAUACGGCCCAGACUCCUACGGGAGGCAGCAGUGGGGAAUAUUGGGCAAUGGGCGCAAGCCUGACCCAGCAACGCCGCGUGAGGAAGGAAGGACGUUC
RNAcentral lists this ribosomal RNA (409 nucleotides) under uncultured bacterium. RNAcentral's name for it is "bacterial SSU rRNA". It matches the Rfam family "Bacterial small subunit ribosomal RNA", at positions 28 to 420 of the family's 1533-position model. The record is from RNAcentral.